GUAGUGUUUUAAGAUCACCAUCCUCUUCCUAAAUAUUAAACUGAUUUUUUUAUUACACCAAAGUAAAUCAAGUACAUAUAACAUGUCUGUAAGCACUUUUGUAAUAAUUGGGAUAUUUGGUGUUGCAAGCGCAAUUCUGAUACCUCCGUUCUGUGACCUUCUGGUAGUAGAUGCUCCUUUAAAGUGCUACAAUGCCACUGAUUGUGAUUCUUAUAGGGAGUGCCUGCGUCAGAAAUAAAAAUAUUAGUAAGUACCAAUUUAUAAAUCGAUGUUUAUGGCUAUGAUGUUUCGAAGACCUCCAAAAUAAAAACCGUUGUCAGCUACA
Drosophila sechellia is the source of this 325-nucleotide long non-coding RNA. RefSeq lists it as uncharacterized. The transcript has 4 exons. The record is from RefSeq and is a predicted model, not a curated record. NCBI's taxonomy places the organism in Eukaryota, Metazoa, Arthropoda, Insecta, Diptera, Drosophilidae.